CCAAAUAGUGUCCUCUUCUCGUCACAAUGGGAUUCAAUGAGUUCUAGCUGCUGUUGCGAGGGUUCUUGCAGCAAAUCGUCCGUUGCUAUACUGGUUGCUUGGCUCUAUUUUACCUCGCAGCGGUCGUGAAGUAAGGAGGACGCCGGCAAUUCUAGUUCUAUUUCACCGCAGAAGCCCUCGCUCAGUCUUAACUAGCUGUCUUUGCUGGACAGAGAGAGGCCCAUACAGAAAGAGGGAGAGAAAGAAAGUGGCAGAGGGAGACAGAAGUGGGAAGAGCGUGAAAGACGGAGAGAUGAAAACUGAGGUGAGACGGAACAUCAACAAGGCGCAGGAUAAGCAGAAGGAGAGCUACCGGAGGAGAAUCAAGAAGGGGACCAAGUGCUUCAACAUCCGGGCGAAUGACUUGGUUUGGAAGAAGGACGAAAGGAAGGCGAGACCCGGGAAAACUCGUUGCUCUUUCGCGCCUAGCUGGGGUCAUCAUCUGUUAAGAUGAAUGUGCGUGAAUUUGUCUGUCCAUCGUGACUGUCAUUUGUUUUGUCUGAUGUUUUCCCCACCCUUGUUUUCACUGCUUGGCUGGCUCCCCACCUCAAGACGGUAGAUAUUUUGCUACAUUGUAUCUUGUUGUAAAUUGUAUGUUAUUGUAAAUAAAUAAACUUAAUAACCUG
RNAcentral lists this long non-coding RNA (665 nucleotides) under Salmo salar (Atlantic salmon). RNAcentral describes it as "lncRNA (ENSSSAG00000089178.1, ENSSSAG00000093508.1)". Lineage: Eukaryota; Metazoa; Chordata; Actinopteri; Salmoniformes; Salmonidae. The record is from RNAcentral.